RNAcentral lists this ribosomal RNA (245 nucleotides) under uncultured bacterium. RNAcentral describes it as "partial 16S ribosomal RNA". It matches the Rfam family "Bacterial small subunit ribosomal RNA", at positions 524 to 768 of the family's 1533-position model. The record is from RNAcentral.
UACGGAGGAUGCGAGCGUUAUCCGGAUUCAUUGGGUUUAAAGGGUGCGUAGGCGGAUGAGUAAGUCAGUGGUGAAAGACUGUCGCUUAACGAUAGCAUUGCCAUUGAUACUGCAUAUCUUGAGUACAUUUGAGGUGGGCGGAAUGUGUAGUGUAGCGGUGAAAUGCUUAGAUAUUACACAGAACACCAAUUGCGAAGGCAGCUCACUAAACUGUAACUGACGCUGAGGCACGAAAGCGUGGGGAU